UACGUAGGGACCAAGCGUUGUUCGGAUUUACUGGGCGUAAAGGGCGCGUAGGCGGCAAUUCAAGUCAUCUGUGAAAUCUCCGGGCUUAACUCGGAACGGUCAGAUGAUACUGCGGGGCUAGAGUGCAGAAGGGGCAACUGGAAUUCUCGGUGUAGCGGUGAAAUGCGUAGAUAUCGAGAGGAACACCUGCGGCGAAGGCGGGUUGCUGGGCUGACACUGACGCUGAUGCGCGAAAGCUAGGGGAGCGAACGGG
This 253-nucleotide ribosomal RNA is filed under the name uncultured bacterium. RNAcentral's name for it is "partial 16S ribosomal RNA". It matches the Rfam family "Bacterial small subunit ribosomal RNA", at positions 524 to 776 of the family's 1533-position model. The record is from RNAcentral.